GGCGUUGGAUCAUUAUGUUCAAUGGGUUUAGAAAUCCCUGCAUAAUGAUUCUGGAUAAUGAAAAGCUUUUGAAUUAAACAAGCAAAUCAUUUAUGCAGAUGAAAAAUGUUAUUUUAUUGUUUUUCAGGUUUUUUGUGAUCACUGAUUUCAUGCAGAAAGCAAAAAGUGAAAACAAAUGGAAAAACAAAUGUUUAACAAUGCAUUAAUUGAAUGAAAACAUCAUUGUAUAUAUGCUGCCAACAAUGUUAUCACUUCUCCUUUUGGCAUGGGAGAAGGGUUUUAAACAAAAUGAACAAAUCACGCUGAUUUAUGAAUGACCGUGGGAACAUCCACAGCGACCCAAUUG
Molecule: long non-coding RNA, 346 nt
Filed under: Lathyrus oleraceus (garden pea)
Lineage: Eukaryota; Viridiplantae; Streptophyta; Magnoliopsida; Fabales; Fabaceae
Description: Pisum sativum (pea) long non-coding RNA (PSAT_LNC007410)
Source: RNAcentral